RNAcentral lists this ribosomal RNA (777 nucleotides) under uncultured Neocallimastigales. RNAcentral's name for it is "partial large subunit ribosomal RNA". It matches the Rfam family "Eukaryotic large subunit ribosomal RNA", at positions 23 to 610 of the family's 3401-position model. Lineage: Eukaryota; Fungi; Neocallimastigomycota; Neocallimastigomycetes; Neocallimastigales. The record is from RNAcentral.
AGAGAGAGACAUGCGCGCAUAUCAAUAAGCGGAGGAAAAGAAACUAACAAGGAUUCCCUUAGUAACGGCGAGUGAAGCGGGAAGAGCUCAAAUUUGAAAUCUUCAAGGUUCUACCUUGACGAAUUGUAGUUUAUAGAAGUGUUUUCUGUUAGUGGAGUGGCAAAAGUUCUUUGGAAUAGGACAUCAUAGAGGGUGAGAAUCCCGUAUUUGGUCAUUCCUCCUAGCGUUGUGAUACACUUUCAACGAGUCGGAUUGUUUGGGAAUGCAGUCCAAAAUGGGUGGUAAAUUUCAUCUAAAGCUAAAUAUUGGCGAGAGACCGAUAGCGAACGAGUACCGUGAGGGAAAGAUGAAAAGAACUUUGAAAAGAGAGUUAAACAGUACGUGAAAUUGUCAAAAGGGAAGCGUUUGACACCAGUGUUGUUUUUUCCGAAAAUCAAUUACGAAUGUUUUAGUUUUUAAGGAAGUUAUGACUUCAUCGGCUUGCUCCUUUCUUUAUGAAACUUUCUUAAUGCACUUUUCGGUUAACAAGUCAACAUCAAUUUCUUUUGUUGUAAAAGGGUAUGAGGAAGGUGGCUUUCUUUUCGGAGAAAGUGUUUAUAGCCUUGUGCCUCUGCAAUCGGAGAGAUUGAGGUCUGCAGCGUAGAUCCUUCGGGGUUAGAUACAUUUGUGCUAAGUUAUAGCUUUUCAUAGACAACUUGUUGACUAUGUUUAGUCUUGUAGCUUACUCGCUUACGCUAUUUUACCUACGCUUAGGAUGUUGAUAGUCACAGCGUGUAC